Molecule: ribosomal RNA, 497 nt
Filed under: uncultured bacterium
Lineage: Bacteria
Description: partial 16S ribosomal RNA
Rfam family: Bacterial small subunit ribosomal RNA
Source: RNAcentral
GACGAACGCUGGCGGCGUGCCUAAUACAUGCAAGUAGAACGCUGAAGCUUGGUGCUUGCACCGAGCGGAUGAGUUGCGAACGGGUGAGUAACGCGUAGGUAACCUGCCUGGUAGCGGGGGAUAACUAUUGGAAACGAUAGCUAAUACCGCAUAAGAGUAGAUGUUGCAUGACAUUUGCUUAAAAGGUGCAAUUGCAUCACUACCAGAUGGACCUGCGUUGUAUUAGCUAGUUGGUGAGGUAACGGCUCACCAAGGCAACGAUACAUAGCCGACCUGAGAGGGUGAUCGGCCACACUGGGACUGAGACACGGCCCAGACUCCUACGGGAGGCAGCAGUAGGGAAUCUUCGGCAAUGGACGGAAGUCUGACCGAGCAACGCCGCGUGAGUGAAGAAGGUUGUCGGAUCGUAAAGCUCUGUUGUAAGAGAAGAACGAGUGUGAGAGUGGAAAGUUCACACUGUGACGGUAUCUUACCAGAAAGGGACGGCUAACUACGUG